GCUGGGCGAGGUGGUGCACUCUUGCAAUCCCAACCUCCCAGGAGGCUGAGGCAGGAGGAUUGCAAGUUCAAAGCCAGCCUCAGCAACUUAGGCCCUAAGCAACAUAGCAAGACCCUGUCUCAA
Molecule: small RNA, 123 nt
Filed under: Marmota monax (woodchuck)
Lineage: Eukaryota; Metazoa; Chordata; Mammalia; Rodentia; Sciuridae
Source: RNAcentral